UAGAUGGAUGCCUGCUGGCUUAGGCGCCUAGCUGUUAACUAGGAUCUUGAGGGAUCGAGGCCCUCCUAUCUAU
RNAcentral lists this transfer RNA (73 nucleotides) under Gymnothorax eurostus (Abbott's moray eel). Its description in RNAcentral is "tRNA-Asn". The record is from RNAcentral. Lineage: Eukaryota; Metazoa; Chordata; Actinopteri; Anguilliformes; Muraenidae.